This 29-nucleotide non-coding RNA is filed under the name Mus musculus (house mouse). Lineage: Eukaryota; Metazoa; Chordata; Mammalia; Rodentia; Muridae. The record is from RNAcentral.
UCCAUAUAGCUUGCUGCCUAAGUAUUUUA